AAUGACCCCUGGUCAUGUGACAGCUCUGCAUCUUCCUCUGACAGUGAAGAUGAUGAAAAAGACAAGAAAAAGAAGAAAAAGCUGAAGAAGAAAAGAAGCAAGGUACUUAGAUUACGAAACAAGACAGGGCCCAGUAGCGAACUCUGCAGCAUCCCACUCAUUCCACCUGCUUAAUUAGAGCUUAAUGAGCACAUGAAUUAACCUUUUACUGCAUAUUAAUUUCAGAGCAGGAACUGUGUAGAUAUAGACAACUUGCUUUUGUUCCUGUUUUGUAUAUCACUUCGAAAUAAAGCAAAAAUGUAACUGAUAUUUGAAAUAGAUAAGGAAUGUUUUAUUGCAUGCUAGAGUUUAUUAAUCCCAGAAUAAUACAUGCACUUGAGUGCAAAACAGAGAAGAAAAUCAUGGUUAUUAGACCAUUUUCUGAGGUUUUCAGAAUGCAUGAUUGCACAAGUUUUUUUUUUUUUUUCAACAUUCAAAGAGAAGAAUUCCCUUCUUUCACAAUUAAGGGAAAGAGCUGGAGGGUAGAACAAACACGCACACCCACAGAAAAGUACGACAACUGUCAAAAACAAGUUCUUGCAGGUGUCAAUAACUCUGUCACUUCCUCACACAGAAGUCCAGCUCAUCUUCCUCAUCAUCAUCAUCAUCAUCAUCUUCCUCUUCAUCCUCAGACAGUGACAGCAGUGAGGAUGAAAAGAAGAAAAAGAAGAAAAUGAAAAUCAGCGAGACUGCAGAGCCGGGCAUUCUCACAGAAACAGGUCUGGAGGGAAACACUGAAUUAACUCCUGCAGGAGAAACUAAAGGAGAC
Cyprinus carpio (common carp) is the source of this 808-nucleotide long non-coding RNA. NCBI's taxonomy places the organism in Eukaryota, Metazoa, Chordata, Actinopteri, Cypriniformes, Cyprinidae. The record is from Ensembl.